CCAACGAGCAGAAGCCAUGGCGUCCAGAAGCGAUGGCGCGGUCCCAGCCAGCAGAAGCGGCCACGUGGUCCCAGCGAGCUUCAGAGAAGCCAUGGUGGCUUCCAUGUGAUGGGGGAGCAGGAGGCAGGUCUCCGAGGUUCAUCUGAGUUGCUCCACAUGACACUGUUUUAUCAUUUUGGUGGCCAAAGAAUAUUCCCUAGUGUAUGCAUACAAAAGUUUCUUGAUCCCUUUGUGGAUGGACAGAUGGAGUUUCACUAUUGUUACCCAGACUGGAGUGCAAUGGCACGAUCUCAGCUCACUACAACCUCCGCCCUCUGGGUUCAAGCAAUUCUCCUGCCUCAGCCUCCCAAGUAGCUGGGACUACAGGUGCGCACCACCAUGCCCAGAGGGAGUCUUGCUCUGUCACCAGGCUGGAGUGCACUGGCCCAACCUUGGCUUUCUGCAACCUCUGCCUCCUGAGUUCAAGUGAUUCUUCUUCCUCAGUCUCUGGAGUAUCUGGGACCCCAGGC
Molecule: non-coding RNA, 509 nt
Organism: Callithrix jacchus (white-tufted-ear marmoset)
Lineage: Eukaryota; Metazoa; Chordata; Mammalia; Primates; Cebidae
Source: RefSeq, a predicted model, not a curated record